AUACUAGAGUAGCACUCGCAUAUCAAUAAGCGGAGGAAAAGAAACUAACAAGGAUUCCCUUAGUAACGGCGAGUGAAGCGGGAAGAGCUCAAAUUUGAAAUCUUCAAGGUUCUACCUUGACGAAUUGUAGUUUAAAGAAGUGUUUUCUGUUGAAGUUUCGGUAAAAGUUCUUUGGAAUAGGACAUCAUAGAGGGUGAGAAUCCCGUAUUUGACCGUUACUUUCCAGCUGUGUGAUACACUUUCAAAGAGUCGGAUUGUUUGGGAAUGCAGUCCAAAAUGGGUGGUAAAUUUCAUCUAAAGCUAAAUACUGGCGAGAGACCGAUAGCGAACAAGUACCGUGAGGGAAAGAUGAAAAGAACUUUGAAAAGAGAGUUAAACAGUACGUGAAAUUGUCAAAAGGGAAGCGUUUGACACCAGUGUUGUUUUCUCGAAAAUCAAUUAAAAAUGGUGGGAUUUUGUGUUGUAUUGACUUUAUCAGCUUUCUGCACUUUUUUCCUGUCUUUUUUAAUGCACUUUUCGUUUAACAAGUCAACAUCAAUUUCUUUUGUUGUAAAAGGGUAUGAGGAAGGUGGCUUUCUUUUCGGAGAAAGUGUUUAUAGCCUUGUACCUCUGCAAUCGGAGAGAUUGAGGUCUGCAGCGUAGACUCUUCGGGGUUAGAUACAUUUGUGCUAAGCUAUAGCUUUUUAUAGACAACUUGUUGACUAUAUUUAGUCUUGUGGCUUACUCGCUUAUGCCUAUUUUACCUACGCUUAGGAUGUGAUAGUCACAGCGUGUAC
This 776-nucleotide ribosomal RNA is filed under the name uncultured Neocallimastigales. Its description in RNAcentral is "partial large subunit ribosomal RNA". It matches the Rfam family "Eukaryotic large subunit ribosomal RNA", at positions 1 to 610 of the family's 3401-position model. Lineage: Eukaryota; Fungi; Neocallimastigomycota; Neocallimastigomycetes; Neocallimastigales. The record is from RNAcentral.